GAUGAACGCUGGCGGCGUGCCUAAUACAUGCAAGUCGAGCGAACAGACGAGGAGCUUGCUCCUCUGACGUUAGCGGCGGACGGGUGAGUAACACGUGGAUAACCUACCUAUAAGACUGGGAUAACUUCGGGAAACCGGAGCUAAUACCGGAUAAUAUAUUGAACCGCAUGGUUCAAUAGUGAAAGACGGUUUUGCUGUCACUUAUAGAUGGAUCCGCGCCGCAUUAGCUAGUUGGUAAGGUAACGGCUUACCAAGGCAACGAUGCGUAGCCGACCUGAGAGGGUGGUCGGGCGCAGUGGAACAGAGCCACGGUGCAGACAACGCCGGGAGGCAGCAGGCGGGGGUCUUGCGCAAGGUGCGAAAAGCGGAAGGCUCAACGCUGCGGGAAUGAUAAAGGUCUAAGUAACGUAGAACUCUGUGAUUAUACAAGAACAGAAGGGCAAGUAACAAUGCACGUCAGGACGCGAGCUAAUAGGAAAGACAAGCGUAGCUACGGG
RNAcentral lists this ribosomal RNA (497 nucleotides) under uncultured bacterium. Its description in RNAcentral is "partial 16S ribosomal RNA". It matches the Rfam family "Bacterial small subunit ribosomal RNA", at positions 28 to 507 of the family's 1533-position model. The record is from RNAcentral.